UACGUAGGGCGCAAGCGUUGUCCGGAAUUAUUGGGCGUAAAGAGCUCGUAGGCGGUCCGUCACGUCGGGUGUGAAAUUCCAGGGCUCAACCCUGGACCUGCAUUCGAUACGGGCGGACUAGAGUUCGGUAGGGGAGACUGGAAUUCCCGGUGUAGCGGUGAAAUGCGUAGAGAUCGGGAGGAACACCAGCGGCGAAGGCGGCGACCUGGACAAGUACUGACACUCAACUACGAAAGCGUGGGGAGCAAACAGG
This 253-nucleotide ribosomal RNA is filed under the name uncultured bacterium. RNAcentral's name for it is "partial 16S ribosomal RNA". It matches the Rfam family "Bacterial small subunit ribosomal RNA", at positions 524 to 776 of the family's 1533-position model. The record is from RNAcentral.